AAGUGACGGAAUUGGUAGACGUGCUUGGUUUAGGUCCAAGUGUCGCGAGGCGUGGGGGUUCGAGUCCCUCCUUGGGC
RNAcentral lists this transfer RNA (77 nucleotides) under Asterionellopsis glacialis. It matches the Rfam family "tRNA", at positions 5 to 66 of the family's 71-position model. Rfam says of the family: Transfer RNA (tRNA) molecules are approximately 80 nucleotides in length. Their secondary structure includes four short double-helical elements and three loops (D, anti-codon, and T loops). The record is from RNAcentral. Lineage: Eukaryota; Bacillariophyta; Plagiogrammaphyceae; Rhaphoneidales; Asterionellopsidaceae.